This 440-nucleotide ribosomal RNA is filed under the name uncultured bacterium. RNAcentral's name for it is "partial 16S ribosomal RNA". It matches the Rfam family "Bacterial small subunit ribosomal RNA", at positions 338 to 795 of the family's 1533-position model. The record is from RNAcentral.
CCUACGGGAGGCAGCAGUGGGGGAUAUUGCACAAUGGGGGGAACCCUGAUGCAGCGACGCCGCGUGGGUGAAGAAGCGCCUCGGCGCGUAAAGCCCUGUCAGCAGGGAAGAAAAUGACGGUACCUGAAGAAGAAGCCCCGGCUAACUACGUGCCAGCAGCCGCGGUAAUACGGAGGGGGCGAGCGUUAUCCGGAUGUACUGGGUGGAAAGGGGGCGCAGGCGGCGAUGCAAGGCAGGAGUGAAAGCCCGGGGCCCAACCCCGGGACUGCUCGUGGAACUGCGUGGCUGGAGUGCAGGAGGGGCAAGGGGAAUUCCUGGUGUAGCGGUGAAAUGCGUAGAUAUCAGGAGGAACACCGGUGGCGAAGGCGGCCUGCUGGACUGCAACUGACGUUGAGGCCCGAAAGCGUGGGGAGCAAACAGGAUUAGAUACCCGUGUAGUC